This 505-nucleotide ribosomal RNA is filed under the name uncultured bacterium. Its description in RNAcentral is "partial 16S ribosomal RNA". It matches the Rfam family "Bacterial small subunit ribosomal RNA", at positions 28 to 507 of the family's 1533-position model. The record is from RNAcentral.
GACGAACGCUGGCGGCGUGCCUAAUACAUGCCAGUCGAACGCACAGUUUAUACCGUAGCUUGCUACACCAUAGACUGUGAGUUGCGAACGGGUGAGUAACGCGUAGGUAACCUGCCUGGUAGCGGGGGAUAACUAUUGGAAACGAUAGCUAAUACCGCAUAAUAUUAAUUAUUGCAUGAUAAUUAAUUGAAAGGUGCAAUUGCACCACUACCAGAUGGACCUUCGUUGUAUUAGCUAGUAGGUGAGGUAACGGCUCACCUAGGCGACGAUACAUAGCCGACCUGAGAGGGUGGUCGGCCACACUGGGACUGAGACACGGCCCAGACUCCUACGGGGGGCAGCAGUAGGGAAUCUUCGGCAAUGGACGAAAGACUGACCGGGCAACGCCGCGUGAGUGAAGAAGGUUUUCGGAUCGUAAAGCUCUGUUGUAAGAGAAGAACGGGUGUGAGAGUGGAAAGUUCACACUGUGACGGUAUCUUACCAGAAAGGGACGGCUAACUACGUG